AGUGAACGCUGGCGGUAGGCCUAACACAUGCAAGUCGAACGGCAGCACAGUAAGAGCUUGCUCUUACGGGUGGCGAGUGGCGGACGGGUGAGGAAUACAUCGGAAUCUACUUUUUCGUGGGGGAUAACGUAGGGAAACUUACGCUAAUACCGCAUACGACCUACGGGUGAAAGCAGGGGAUCUUCGGACCUUGCGCGAUUGAAUGAGCCGAUGUCGGAUUAGCUAGUUGGCGGGGUAAAGGCCCACCAAGGCGACGAUCCGUAGCUGGUCUGAGAGGAUGAUCAGCCACAUUGGAACUGAGACACGGUCCAGACUCCUACGGGAGGCCGCAGUGGGGAAUAUUGGACAAUGGGCGCAAGCCUGAUCCAGCCAUACCGCGUGGGUGAAGAAGGCCUUCGGGUUGUAAAGCCCUUUUGUUGGGAAAGAAAAGCAGCAGGUUAAUACCCCGCUGUUCUGACGGUACCCAAAGAAUAAGCACCGGCUAACUUCGUG
RNAcentral lists this ribosomal RNA (492 nucleotides) under uncultured bacterium. Its description in RNAcentral is "partial 16S ribosomal RNA". It matches the Rfam family "Bacterial small subunit ribosomal RNA", at positions 29 to 507 of the family's 1533-position model. The record is from RNAcentral.